CCCUUAGAUGUCCUGGGCUGCACGCGCGCUACACUGAUGUGUCCAGUAAGCACCUAACCUCUUCCGAAAGGAACGGGUAACCUUUGCAAAGCACAUCGUGAUGGGGAUAGAUUAUUGCAAUUAUUAGUCUUGAACGAGGAAUUCCUAGUAAGCACAAGUCAUCAGCUUGUGUUGAUUACGUCCCUGCCCUUUGUACACACCGCCCGUCGCUCCUACCGAUUGAAUGUUCCGGUGAGCUCUUCGGACUGCGCGGUCUGCAGUUUCUGCGUUCCGUGCGGAAAGUUGCGCAAACCUUAACAUUUAGAUGAAGGAGAAGUCGUAACA
RNAcentral lists this ribosomal RNA (324 nucleotides) under uncultured eukaryote. RNAcentral's name for it is "partial 18S ribosomal RNA". It matches the Rfam family "Eukaryotic small subunit ribosomal RNA", at positions 1470 to 1796 of the family's 1831-position model. The record is from RNAcentral.